Molecule: ribosomal RNA, 253 nt
Filed under: uncultured bacterium
Lineage: Bacteria
Description: partial 16S ribosomal RNA
Rfam family: Bacterial small subunit ribosomal RNA
Source: RNAcentral
UACGUAGGGGGCAAGCGUUGUCCGGAAUCAUUGGGCGUAAAGCGCGUGUAGGCGGCUUGGUAAGUCCGUUCUGAAAGCCCGGGGCUCAACCCCGGGAGGCGGAUGGAUACUGUCAAGCUUGAGUCCGGAAGAGGCGAGUGGAAUUCCCGGUGUAGCGGUGAAAUGCGCAGAUAUCGGGAGGAACACCGGUGGCGAAGGCGGUUCUCUGGGCCUUACCUGACGCUGAGGAGCGAAAGCGUGGGGAGCGAACAGG